ACCCGCUGAACUUAAGCAUAUCAAUAAGCGGAGGAAAAGAAACCAACAGGGAUUGUCUUAGUAACGGCGAGUGAAGCGACAAAAGCUCAAAUUUGAAAUCUGGCACCUUCGGUGUCCGAGUUGUAAUUUGAAGAAAGUAACUUUGGAGUUGGCUCUUGUCUAUGUUCCUUGGAACAGGACGUCACAGAGGGUGAGAAUCCCGUGCGAUGAGAUGUCCAACUCUAUGUAAAGUGCUUUCGAAGAGUCGAGUUGUUUGGGAAUGCAGCUCUAAGUGGGUGGUAAAUUCCAUCUAAAGCUAAAUAUUGGCGAGAGACCGAUAGCGAACAAGUACAGUGAUGGAAAGAUGAAAAGAACUUUGAAAAGAGAGUGAAAAAGUACGUGAAAUUGUUGAAAGGGAAGGGUUUGAGAUCAGACUUGGUAUUUUGUAUGUCUUGCUUUCGGGUGGGGCCUCUGCAGUUUACUGGGCCAGCAUCGGUUUGGACGGUAGGAUAAUGACAUUGGAAUGUGGCACUACUUCGGUGGUGUGUUAUAGACUUUGUUGAUACUGCCUGUCUAGACCGAGGACUGCGUC
Molecule: ribosomal RNA, 571 nt
Filed under: Scheffersomyces shehatae
Lineage: Eukaryota; Fungi; Ascomycota; Pichiomycetes; Serinales; Debaryomycetaceae
Description: eukaryotic LSU rRNA
Rfam family: Eukaryotic large subunit ribosomal RNA
Source: RNAcentral